CAGAGCAUGGCUAAGAUAGUAAAGCAUCUCCCUUACACUGAGAAGACAUCCGUGCAAAUCGGAUUGCCCUGA
This 72-nucleotide transfer RNA is filed under the name Zanclus cornutus (moorish idol). Its description in RNAcentral is "tRNA-Val". It matches the Rfam family "tRNA". Rfam says of the family: Transfer RNA (tRNA) molecules are approximately 80 nucleotides in length. Their secondary structure includes four short double-helical elements and three loops (D, anti-codon, and T loops). Further hydrogen bonds mediate the characteristic L-shaped molecular structure. tRNAs have two regions of fundamental functional importance: the anti-codon, which is responsible for specific mRNA codon recognition, and the 3' end, to which the tRNAs corresponding amino acid is attached (by aminoacyl-tRNA synthetases). tRNAs cope with the degeneracy of the genetic code in two manners: having more than one tRNA (with a specific anti-codon) for a particular amino acid; and 'wobble' base-pairing, i.e. permitting non-standard base-pairing at the 3rd anti-codon position. Lineage: Eukaryota; Metazoa; Chordata; Actinopteri; Acanthuriformes; Zanclidae. The record is from RNAcentral.